This 497-nucleotide ribosomal RNA is filed under the name uncultured bacterium. RNAcentral describes it as "partial 16S ribosomal RNA". It matches the Rfam family "Bacterial small subunit ribosomal RNA", at positions 28 to 507 of the family's 1533-position model. The record is from RNAcentral.
GAUGAACGCUGGCGGCGUGCCUAAUACAUGCAAGUCGAGCGAACGGACGAGAAGCUUGCUUCUCUGAUGUUAGCGGCGGACGGGUGAGUAACACGUGGAUAACCUACCUAUAAGACUGGGAUAACUUCGGGAAACCGGAGCUAAUACCGGAUGAUAUUUUGAACCGCAUGGUUCAAAAGUGAAAGACGGUCUUGCUGUCACUUAUAGAUGGAUCCGCGCUGCAUUAGCUAGUUGGUAAGGUAACGGCUUACCAAGGCAACGAUGCAUAACCGACCUGAGAGGGUGAUCGGCCACACUGGAACUGAGACACGGUCCAGACUCCUACGGGAAGCAGCAGUAGGGAAUCUUCCGCAAUGGGCGAAAGCCUGACGGAGCAACGCCGCGUGAGUGAUGAAGGUCUUCGGAUCGUAAAACUCUGUUAUUAGGGAAGAACAUAUGUGUAAGUAACUGUGCACAUCUUGCCGGUACCUAAUCAGAAAGCCACGGCUAACUACGUG